Molecule: ribosomal RNA, 254 nt
Filed under: uncultured bacterium
Lineage: Bacteria
Description: partial 16S ribosomal RNA
Rfam family: Bacterial small subunit ribosomal RNA
Source: RNAcentral
UACGGAGGGUGCGAGCGUUGUCCGGAAUCACUGGGCGUAAAGGGCGCGUAGGUGGUGGCUUAAGCGUGCGGUGAAAGCUCGGGGCUCAACCCCGAGUCGGCCGUGCGAACUGGGCUCACUGGAGCAUAGUAGAGGCAGGUGGAAUUCCAUGUGUAGCGGUGAAAUGCGUAGAGAUAUGGAGGAACACCAGUGGCGAAGGCGACUUUCUGGUCUGUAACUGACACUGAGGCGCGAAAGCGUGGGGAGCAAACAGG